RNAcentral lists this ribosomal RNA (585 nucleotides) under Salmonella enterica. RNAcentral describes it as "partial 23S ribosomal RNA". It matches the Rfam family "Bacterial large subunit ribosomal RNA", at positions 604 to 1190 of the family's 2925-position model. RNAcentral also lists the same sequence under 1 other name. The record is from RNAcentral. Lineage: Bacteria; Pseudomonadati; Pseudomonadota; Gammaproteobacteria; Enterobacterales; Enterobacteriaceae.
CCUUUUGUAUAAUGGGUCAGCGACUUAUAUUCUGUAGCAAGGUUAACCGUAUAGGGGAGCCGUAGGGAAACCGAGUCUUAACCGGGCGUUAAGUUGCAGGGUAUAGACCCGAAACCCGGUGAUCUAGCCAUGGGCAGGUUGAAGGUUGGGUAACACUAACUGGAGGACCGAACCGACUAAUGUUGAAAAAUUAGCGGAUGACCUGUGGCUGGGGGUGAAAGGCCAAUCAAACCGGGAGAUAGCUGGUUCUCCCCGAAAGCUAUUUAGGUAGCGCCUCGUGAAUUCAUCUCCGGGGGUAGAGCACUGUUUCGGCUAGGGGGCCAUCCCGGCUUACCAACCCGAUGCAAACUGCGAAUACCGGAGAAUGUUAUCACGGGAGACACACGGCGGGUGCUAACGUCCGUCGUGAAGAGGGAAACAACCCAGACCGCCAGCUAAGGUCCCAAAGUCAUGGUUAAGUGGGAAACGAUGUGGGAAGGCCCAGACAGCCAGGAUGUUGGCUUAGAAGCAGCCAUCAUUUAAAGAAAGCGUAAUAGCUCACUGGUCGAGUCGGCCUGCGCGGAAGAUGUAACGGGGCUAAACCAU